UGGGGGAUCGUCUAAGUGGCAGGACACGGGAUUUUGGAUCCCGGUGUGGAGGUUCGAGUCCUCCUCCCCCAGCCA
This 75-nucleotide transfer RNA is filed under the name Candidatus Atribacteria bacterium. RNAcentral describes it as "tRNA-Gln". It matches the Rfam family "tRNA". Rfam says of the family: Transfer RNA (tRNA) molecules are approximately 80 nucleotides in length. Their secondary structure includes four short double-helical elements and three loops (D, anti-codon, and T loops). The record is from RNAcentral. Lineage: Bacteria; Pseudomonadati; Atribacterota; Atribacteria.